GAAUUUUGCGCAAUGGGCGAAAGCCUGACGCAGCAACGCCGCGUGAGGGAUGACGGCCUUCGGGUUGUAAACCUCUUUUGUCAGGGAAGAUGUUGACGGUACCUGGCGAAUAAGCCCCGGCUAACUCCGUGCCAGCAGCCGCGGUAAUACGGAGGGGGCUAGCGUUGUUCGGAAUUACUGGGCGUAAAGCGCACGUAGGCGGCUUUGCAAGUUAGAGGUGAAAGCCCGGAGCUCAACUCCGGAACUGCCUUUAAAACUGCAUCGCUAGAACGUCGGAGAGGUAAGUGGAAUUCCGAGUGUAGAGGUGAAAUUCGUAGAUAUUCGGAAGAACACCAGUGGCGAAGGCGACUUACUGGACGACUGUUGACGCUGAGGUGCGAAAGCGUGGGGAGCAAAC
RNAcentral lists this ribosomal RNA (397 nucleotides) under uncultured bacterium. RNAcentral's name for it is "bacterial SSU rRNA". It matches the Rfam family "Bacterial small subunit ribosomal RNA", at positions 359 to 773 of the family's 1533-position model. The record is from RNAcentral.